GACAACGCUGGCGGCGUGCUUAACACAUGCAAGUCGAACGGUGACGAGGAGCUUGCUCCUCUGAUCAGUGGCGAACGGGUGAGUAACACGUGAGCAACCUGCCCCAGACUCUGGGAUAACAGUUGGAAACAGCUGCUAAUACCGGAUACGAGACGGAGAGGCAUCUCUACCGUCUGGAAAGUUUUUCGGUCUGGGAUGGACUCGCGGCCUAUCAGCUAGUUGGUGAGGUAAUGGCUCACCAAGGCGACGACGGGUAGCCGGCCUGAGAGGGCGACCGGCCACACUGGGACUGAGACACGGCCCAGACUCCUACGGGAGGCAGCAGUGGGGAAUAUUGCACAAUGGGCGAAAGCCUGAUGCAGCGACGCCGCGUGAGGGAUGACGGCCUUCGGGUUGUAAACCUCUUUCAGCAGGGAAGAAGCGAAAAGUGACGGUACCUGCAGAAGAAGCACCGGCUAACUACGUG
RNAcentral lists this ribosomal RNA (466 nucleotides) under uncultured bacterium. Its description in RNAcentral is "bacterial SSU rRNA". It matches the Rfam family "Bacterial small subunit ribosomal RNA", at positions 32 to 507 of the family's 1533-position model. The record is from RNAcentral.